This 284-nucleotide unclassified non-coding RNA is filed under the name Hevea brasiliensis (rubber tree). The record is from RNAcentral. Lineage: Eukaryota; Viridiplantae; Streptophyta; Magnoliopsida; Malpighiales; Euphorbiaceae.
CUAGUAUGCUUUCCAUCAUGAAACUGUCAAAGGAGAUCAAAUCACCAGACUUUCUUUCCAAUUGCUGUUCUCGUAAUCGCAAAUUGUAGUGAAUAUAGGCAAGCUCAUUCCAUCUCUUUUGAGACAGACUGUCUUUUGCUGUGAACUUGGUCAUAUGUACUCCAAGUAUGUUCACAUCCAAGGGAUGAACAUGUCUGGCUCAGUAUGCGUAUAGCAAUUAGUUGAAGCUCCAAGCAACUUAUUCCAUGCUGUUGCCACCAAGCAGCUGGAUCAAGCUCUAUUCU